CCACACAGAGGAAAAAGCAGCAUUCUGCUGACCUUCAGACCGACAGCCUAAUGGCAGAAUACCCUGCCAAGGCACAACGGGUAGUGACUCAGGUCAUAAGAGAUUCUCCUUUAACCGUGAACAUCCUGUCAGCCCACGUCUCCUCAAAGACCAUUGCUGAGGCCUCAACUCACGUUCUUGAGUCCCUUCUAGUGGACUUAAACGAGGCAGUUGAGGUGAGUAGGGCAGAGCGGAGCAAGUUCUGGGAACAGGUCCAGUUAUCCUCCCAGAAACUUUACAGCACAGCUGUGGACAAGCUGAAGAGUUUGUACACUGGUUGCCUCCUCAACAACGAGCAAGACCACCAGGAUACCCAUGUAACCGCUGACAAAAUCCAGGACAUGGAAGUGUCUACCAACAAUGACCUCAAAGACCCAACAGUUGCAGUCAGCCAAGAGUUAGUCCGACACAGCGCAAAGAAGAUCCUCACAAAGGUUCUGAAUGUGAUCAAAGCCGGAGUAGCUGGCUCAGAGCACUCAUCUGUGGGCGAGCAGAUGACCGAAGAGUGCCAAGUUGCCACAGAGAUGUUGGACUCCAUUCUGAACAGACUAGAAGAUGAUGAGCCUGAUGUGGGUGAAGAGGAUCAUCUUCAUGUGAUGUCUGUCCGUGACAUCUACGAGGAUGUCUCAUCUAAAACCUCUCAGGUUUGUAUGGUGAUGAGUAGCCAGGCGAUGGACGCGUUGACCGAUGAUGUGUCUGCCGCGACCUAUGUGCAUGAUAUUGUGUACAGGUCAGAGAGUUGUCUCUCUCAGGCCACAAGUACCCACAGGUCAGGCACUAGCCAGGCCUCCAGUGACCUUGUUGUUGAGUACAUGUCUGAGCUCCAUGCCAACUGCCUUGACACCGCAUUGCCUGUGAGGUGCACUUCUACAGCUGUUGGCGAUACAGAGACUUGUCAUGUCCCCUCUGCCAGAGUGAAGAAGAAGAGUCAGGGCCGGAGGUUCAGUUGCUGCCCAAAGUUGCCAACGGUCAGGAUCAAGAUGAUGAUCAUGCUGUCCCAUUCAUUCCCCAACUUGAGGACGACCUGCCACCAGCACCUGCACAGGAGUCCCGUAAACGUCCCCUGUUUGUGAGAAUGUUCCGGGCCAUUUCCAGGGCCAUCUCAAAGCCAUUCAAGGGCUGUGCUUUUUGCAAGAAGAAUUAGGAAAGGGUUAGCCAUCAACAUCUAAUAAACAUAUUAGCACCAUUGAUUUGUGUGUCUGCAGUCAAAUUUAAUAGACUCUCUUGACAUGGCAUUUUAGCAGACCCUUAUCCAGAGCAACUAGGGUUAAGUGCCUAAGUCAGUUUGGAGAUACAAACCAGUGACCUUUUGGUUAUUGGCCCAACACUCUUAACCACUAGGCUACCUGCCACUGCAUGGGUUUUACCAUAUUGCUUAUUCUUUUUUGAUUCCUUCCUAUCUGCAAAGAGGUUGACCCAACUGAACAUUUCACACCAGAUUUCUAUGUUCCAUUUGCUGUUUUAAGUACAUGAUUUCAAUAUAUGUAAUAUACUUGCAAACUGAGAAGGCAUUUGACACCAGAUUUGUUUGUUUUGACCUUGGUGAAAAUGUGUUUAUAUGACAUUGCAGCACAAUAUUAAUAUAAUAAGUGUCUUUUUCAACACAUUUUGAUGCAUACAUUUCCAGUGGGGGGAGGGGUAUGGUUUGUGGCCCAUUAUAUUCUAUACAGCUCUUCGGGAGAGGUUGCCAAGGUCAAAGUAGAGCUAUUAUCAUCCUGCUGAUCAUACAGUAUUUGGAAUGAAGAAGGGUCCAUUAAUAGGGGCUAGG
This is a long non-coding RNA of Oncorhynchus tshawytscha (Chinook salmon), 1807 nucleotides long. The record is from Ensembl. Lineage: Eukaryota; Metazoa; Chordata; Actinopteri; Salmoniformes; Salmonidae.